Long non-coding RNA from Astatotilapia calliptera (eastern happy), 913 nucleotides. Lineage: Eukaryota; Metazoa; Chordata; Actinopteri; Cichliformes; Cichlidae. The record is from Ensembl.
UUUACAUCACAUAAGUCAUUUUCACAAUCAUUCUACUUUAAAAGAUUUCAAGACAGAGCUUAUUGUUCUCUGAACUUCCUUGUUUGCUGAACGGCAGGUAACGUGCAUCUUUUUGUUUGUUUGCUUUUGUGCGUUUGUGUUUUCUCUAAUGGGCCUCAGAUGACGGUUUGCUUAAAUUUGGGUCUCAAAGCAUUUUUUAAAAUUCUGCCUGUGCUCCCCACCCCUCUUCUUCUGUUGCUCAGGCUGAAGCAGAAUUUGCCCGUCUUACAUCUGUUGACCUGAAAGGGUUCCUUUUUGCUGUGCUUGACCAAUAUGGAGAGGUUCAUGGAGCUGUACAAAAUCAAGAGCGGCAUAGGAGGGCUGACUAGGCUCAUAAAAUGCUUCGGUGAUGAUGAAGAAGACAGAGGGCCUCAUCUUCUAAAGGAAGAUCCCUCACACACUCUCAAGACUGUGAAGCCACAGCCACCCUGGGGCGCACUGACAGAGGCGAGGCUGCCGGACACUGGCGCCACCGGGCCCUCUGACCACCACCAGCAGGCAGCAGGUGAAGUGUCUUGCCCAAGGACACAACGACCGAGAUUGUUGGAGCCGGGGCUCGAACCGGCAACCUUCCGAUUAUAAGACGAACUGUCAACUCCUGAGCCACGAUUCAGUCAUCCACCCAUGUGUGUGAAUGACUGGAUGUGUAAAGCGCUUUGGAGUCCUUAGGGGACUUGUCUUUGAACCCUUUUAUAGCCGACAGGUAUUGAAGACACAUUUACUAAGAGGAUGAAAGUUGGCAUUGUGUUGGUGAAAGAAGAAGACAUCAUCCAUGUGUUGGUUGUCCUUGAGGCGGCAGUAAUCCUGUCUAAUCUGAGGGAUGUCUCAAGUGCCAUUUCCAUGCUGAUGGGCCUUCUUUUUGCCUUCAACAUAG